GGGGAAUAUUGCACAAUGGAGGAAACUCUGAUGCAGCGACGUCGCGUGAGUGAUGAAGGUCUUCGGAUCGUAAAACUCUGUCCUAAGGGACGAUAAUGACGGUACCUUAGGAGGAAGCCCCGGCUAACUACGUGCCAGCAGCCGCGGUAAUACGUAGGGGGCGAGCGUUGUCCGGAUUUAUUGGGCGUAAAGGGUGCGUAGGCGGCCUUGUAAGUCAGAUGUGAAAGAUCAUGGCUUAACUGUGGUAAGCAUUUGAAACUGCAGGGCUUGAGUACAGGAGAGGAGAGUGGAAUUCCUAGUGUAGCGGUGAAAUGCGUAGAUAUUAGGAGGAAUACCAGUGGCGAAGGCGACUCUCUGGACUGAUACUGACGCUGAGGCACGAAAGCGUGGGGAGCAAACA
Molecule: ribosomal RNA, 400 nt
Filed under: uncultured Eubacteriales bacterium
Lineage: Bacteria; Bacillati; Bacillota; Clostridia; Eubacteriales
Description: bacterial SSU rRNA
Rfam family: Bacterial small subunit ribosomal RNA
Source: RNAcentral